GAGGGUGUAGCUCAGUGGUAGAGUGUGUGCUUAGCAUGCACGAGGUCCUGGGUUCAAUCCCCAGUACCUCCU
Camelus ferus (Wild Bactrian camel) is the source of this 72-nucleotide transfer RNA. It matches the Rfam family "tRNA". From Rfam's summary of the family: Transfer RNA (tRNA) molecules are approximately 80 nucleotides in length. Their secondary structure includes four short double-helical elements and three loops (D, anti-codon, and T loops). Lineage: Eukaryota; Metazoa; Chordata; Mammalia; Artiodactyla; Camelidae. The record is from Rfam.